Lotus japonicus is the source of this 1979-nucleotide long non-coding RNA. RefSeq lists it as uncharacterized. Lineage: Eukaryota; Viridiplantae; Streptophyta; Magnoliopsida; Fabales; Fabaceae. The transcript is spliced from 2 exons. The record is from RefSeq and is a predicted model, not a curated record.
CACUUUAAUUACUCCUUUUGAAUUUUCAACUUUUAAUUUAAAUUAAAAGUAACAACUUCUCAGCCAAAUAUUAAUUAUCUUUUUUGGUGUUCUCCUUUAUCUGUUUUUAUAUCCUACUUUUUCUCCUUCCACUAUGUUUGAUAAGCGUGUGGUCAAAUGCCAUUUAAUGGAGCCGGAAAAAACUUGGGUUUUCCCAUUCUUUCUAUGUGCAGCCGCCCAAAGUAACCCUACUUUUUCCCCUUUCAAUUGCUUUCAGCCAUAACUCUCACACUCUCUACCAGAGAUGGGUUAUUGGGACCAUCAACCAUCAUUAAUGGAGAUGACUCCUUAAUUCAAUUUAGAGAUGGAGCCAUUACCCGUCUCUUUUCUCCUAUUUAAGGUCCAUUAGAUCAAAUUUGCUGAUAAUGUUUUCACAUGAAGCAUUCUUUGAGCUAGCUACAGAUUUUUAUCCCAGCGCAUGUGUUCCAUCCAGCUGGUUGAUGUCUUCGUUUCCUUUCUCACUCUCAUGUUUCUUUCAAUUUUUUUUGACUGAAUUUUGGUCGUUUUUUUUAUCAAGUGAAGCAUUUUACCACCUGAAAUUUGCAGCCUAACAUAUUGCAUAAUUGCUUCAUUCAUAUGAAAAUUCUAUCGUACAGAGUCACACACUAUGCAAGAAUUAUCCUGUAAUGGGAGCCUAGCACAUCAUAUUUUGGUCCAUUAAGUAUUUUUCUAAGGAUUAAAGUAUGUUAACAGUUAUUUCACCGGCAUCCCAAUGAAAAAGAUAGGUAAAGAAAAGUUAGAGGUAUAAUUGCUACUGGAAUUAAUAUUCUUUUUUUUUCAUGGAUAUGCAUGUUUGAUAUUUUUGCUUUUUGAAGAGAAUUGAUGUGACUACAUAAUAAUGAUAAUUGUGAUGAUUUAUGAUACAUGUCCAAACCUAAAUCACACCUGAUAGGUUAUAGAUUGCAGUAAAUGCAUCAUUGACCUUACUUUUCCAAUCAUUUUCUUUGGUUUAGUGAUUGGAAAUUUUGAAUGAUAAAACUAUAAGAGCUGAUUCUAAGGGCACUCAUCCUCCAAGUAUUGAAGAAGUGGUUAUUAAAAUAGGCUAGGGAAUCUGAAAAAUAGGAAAUAUUUUAUAGAGCAUUUCAAUAGCACAAGCAAAAGUCAUGUUCAUGUAGUGGAGAUUGAUUGGUGUCUGUUUUUUGUUAGCUUUAGAUAUAACAUGAUUAUAAUUUUAGAUUGGUGACUGUUUAAAUAUGAGUUCAACCAUGAAGCCUGAGAGAGGCCUUAUUUUUGUCACUUAUUAUUUUUUAACUCAGUUUAUGGUCACGACUUAGGAGUCGUGACCUUUAUAAUGUUGCAAUAAGUAAUCAAUGAGUAGGAAGUUUGGGAUGAUCGAAAAAUAGAAACUCUAUCAUAAUGUAUCAGCUGUAUUUUCUAUUAAUGAGAAUUUUUUCUAAAGAUCUGUUUAGUUUAGUUGAGGUUUAAGUGGUUUAUCCUAUGAAUGUGGUUCUUUUCUGUAAAUCAGUAUAUUUUAGUUGAAGCUAAAAGCUAAUUGUAAACUGAAGGAGUUCUCGGUGCACGAGGUUUUAUAGUGCUAUGGUUCUUAUUUUUUGUAUGACAGAGAUUGUUUACCAGGAAUAGGCAUUAUGUUUUUUUCUCUAUGUCAGUGUUACUUUUACUCUUUGUUUUUAUUCUUUGACUGAUACUAAUAUUUUUCUAUUAAAUAUUGUUUUCUUCAGGUGUUAAAUAACAGACGAUGGUAGAUUAAGUGAUGGAAAUUGGGGGCUAUUUGCCUGUGUUAGUUGUAUAACAUAAACUGGACAUGUUAAACCAGUUAUUUGAAUUUGUAUUCAUUAUUUGUCUUCUUUUAGGUUGUGUACUUGCUGUGGUUACUGAUUUGGACGGAUCAAUUUUUCAAACAUCUCUUGCUUUCAGAGAUGAGCUUUAAUCUCUAUGCUGGGAGUUACAGUGUUAAAAUAAAUUUUGAUGUGUUAAGGAAA